Ctenopharyngodon idella (grass carp) is the source of this 1138-nucleotide long non-coding RNA. RefSeq lists it as uncharacterized. The record is from RefSeq and is a predicted model, not a curated record. The transcript is spliced from 4 exons. NCBI's taxonomy places the organism in Eukaryota, Metazoa, Chordata, Actinopteri, Cypriniformes, Xenocyprididae.
GAGAAAGCCGUGAUUAAACACUGCGAUCUGUUUGUGUCACUGCUGUGCAGCAAGGAUCCUGUGGACCAGAUCUCAUUCCGUAGAGCAGAAGAAACAGAAGCAGUCAAAAAAAUCUUCGGAGAAACUUACUGUGCAGAAAAUGCCUUUUCCAAACAUCAAUGCCAACAUUUUUCUUAAGAGCGCUGCUCCUGUGAGCUUUUUGAUCAUGGGUUUUGAAGUGAUUUUCAAGAUGAAAUUUUCAUGCCCAUGCAUUAUUGUGAUGAACCAAUUUCUAGCACUCCUCAUCUUAACUGUGCCUGCUGUCUUUGCUUCGGUUAUGAUCUCACUAUUUUUGAGUUUUAUAAUAUCUGAAAGCAGUGGAAGUUCUGAAGCACAAGGCAACAAUGAACAAUUUAAUCGUAUGAUUAGUUUAAUUCCACCUGCAUUGUGGAUCUGUAUAUUUUUCAUCGAUGGUGAUUAUUGUGCGUGUGGAUUCACAUAUUGGGAUGGACAGUAUGUCUGUGAUACAAGUCUUCAUCCCAGUUGUUUCAGCUGGUGUAAACCGGAAGGAACAAAUGGGACAGGAAAAUAUAACUACACACUAUGGGUGAAUAAUAUAACAAAGUUACUAGGUUAUGCCCUGGGUUUGUUCUUCUGCCAUCAUAUCUGGAGAAAAAUAGAUAAAACACACAUCACAAAUAUAGUGGAACACAGAGUGGUGCCACAAACACAAGAGGAUUCAGAGCUUCAAGAGAUACCACACACUGCACAGUGAACACCAUCACUUCAGGUUUACCCAGAGCCAAAAUCAUGGAUCUAAAGACACACACACACACACACACACACACACACAUAUAUAUAUAUAUAUAUAUAUAUAUAUACAGGUUUAAUUUUAAUUAAUUAACAGGUCACUGAAAUAUUGAGAAAUAGCAGUGAAAAAGGACUCUGAAUUGAUUUUUCAGUGUGGAUGCAGAAAAACACAGAAGAGCCGGAGAGAGAGAAAAAAUAAUGUUCAGAUGAGGGAGAGGAAUAUAUGAGGAGCAGUUAGAUCAGGAUAAGAGAGAGGAGUAAGAAUAUGUGCUGGACAUCGUUUUUAGAGACAGUGUUUCGAGAAGACACUGAGAGAGACGGACAAUAAACUGCAUAAAACUGAAUAAAA